AAUGUUGAACAUUUGAGC
RNAcentral lists this small nuclear RNA (18 nucleotides) under Arabidopsis thaliana (thale cress). Its description in RNAcentral is "snRNA_12220". Lineage: Eukaryota; Viridiplantae; Streptophyta; Magnoliopsida; Brassicales; Brassicaceae. The record is from RNAcentral.